AUGCAGCUGGAUAUUGUGCAAGAGAAAAGGACGCUCACGCCAUCAGAGUUUCAUCUGCGAAAGCUGCUGAAACUGAAGAUCGUUGGCCUGGCUGCCCUCGAGCGUGCAAGAAAAUGGCAAGCAUCUUGGGUCACUUGGCUGGAAGCAGGGGAUGCCAAAGCGGCCUUCUUCCAUGCCAAGAUUAGUUCAAGCAGGAGUAAGAACUUCAUUCAGAGCUUGCAAAAGGAGGACAGACAAGCAAUAGCACACGAAGACAAGGCGGCGAUGAUCCACGAGCACUUUCAGGAACUGCUCGGCGAGAAAAGAGCGCGUGCGUGCACCCUCAACUGGGCUGCGCUAAACCUGCCGGUGCUGGACAUCCAUGGCUUGGACAAUCCUUUUACUGAAGUCGAAGUG
RNAcentral lists this ribosomal RNA (396 nucleotides) under Triticum aestivum (bread wheat). RNAcentral describes it as "partial small subunit ribosomal RNA". Lineage: Eukaryota; Viridiplantae; Streptophyta; Magnoliopsida; Poales; Poaceae. The record is from RNAcentral.